UACGUAGGGUGCGAGCGUUAAUCGGAAUUACUGGGCGUAAAGCGUGCGCAGGCGGUUUUGUAAGCCAGGUGUGAAAUCCCCGGGCUCAACCUGGGAAUGGCAUUUGGGACUGCAAGGCUGGAGUGCGGCAGAGGAGACUGGAAUUCCUGGUGUGGCAGUGAAAUGCGUAGAUAUCAGGAGGAACACCGAUGGCGAAGGCAGGUCUCUGGGCUGACACUGACGCUCAUGCACGAAAGCGUGGGGAGCAAACAGG
This 253-nucleotide ribosomal RNA is filed under the name uncultured bacterium. RNAcentral describes it as "partial 16S ribosomal RNA". It matches the Rfam family "Bacterial small subunit ribosomal RNA", at positions 524 to 776 of the family's 1533-position model. The record is from RNAcentral.